This 74-nucleotide transfer RNA is filed under the name Richelia sp. RM2_1_2. Its description in RNAcentral is "tRNA-Thr". It matches the Rfam family "tRNA". From Rfam's summary of the family: Transfer RNA (tRNA) molecules are approximately 80 nucleotides in length. Their secondary structure includes four short double-helical elements and three loops (D, anti-codon, and T loops). The record is from RNAcentral. Lineage: Bacteria; Bacillati; Cyanobacteriota; Cyanophyceae; Nostocales; Nostocaceae.
GCCCCUGUAGUAUAAUGGCAUUACAACGGUUUUGUACUCCGUAGAUAGGCGUUCGAUUCGUCUUAGGGGCUCCA